This 380-nucleotide ribosomal RNA is filed under the name uncultured organism. RNAcentral describes it as "partial 16S ribosomal RNA". It matches the Rfam family "Bacterial small subunit ribosomal RNA", at positions 527 to 896 of the family's 1533-position model. The record is from RNAcentral.
GUAGGUGGCAAGCGUUGUCCGGAAUUAUUGGGCGCAAAGCGCGCGCAGGCGGUUCUUUAAGUCUGAUGUGAAAGCCCACGGCUCAACCGUGGAGGGUCAUUGGAAACUGGAGAACUUGAGUACAGAAGAGGAAAGCGGAAUUCCACGUGUAGCGGUGAAAUGCGUAGAGAUGUGGAGGAACACCAGUGGCGAAGGCGGCUUUCUGGUCUGUAACUGACGCUGAGGCGCGAAAGCGUGGGGGGAGCAAACAGGAUUAGAUAUCCUGGUAGUCCACGCCGUAAACCGAUGAGUGCUAAGUGUUAGGGGGUUUCCGGCCCCCCCCUUACGUGCUGCAGCUAACGCAUUAAGCACUCCGCCCUGGGAGUACGGCCGCAAGGCUG